Molecule: ribosomal RNA, 472 nt
Filed under: uncultured Actinomycetes bacterium
Lineage: Bacteria; Bacillati; Actinomycetota; Actinomycetes
Description: bacterial SSU rRNA
Rfam family: Bacterial small subunit ribosomal RNA
Source: RNAcentral
GAGUUUGAUCGUGGCUCAGGAUAAACGUUGGCGGCGUGCCUAACGCAUGCAAGUCGCACGGGGCGCAAGCCUAGUGGCGGACGGGUGAGUAACACGUAGGGACCUGCCCGGAAGUGGGGGACAACUCUCCGAAAGGAGAGCUAAUACCGCAUACGGUCUACGGACCAAAGCCGUAAGGCGCUUCUGGAGGGACCUGCGGUGGAUUAGCUAGUUGGUGGGGUAACGGCCUACCAAGGCGACGAUCCAUAGCUGGUCUGAGAGGAUGAUCAGCCACACUGGGACUGAGACACGGCCCAGACUCCUACGGGAGGCAGCAGCGAGGAAUUUUGCACAAUCGACGCAAGUCGGAUGCAGCAACGCCGCGUGGGGGAAGAAGGCUCUCGAGUUGUAAACCCCUUUUGUUGAGGGAAGAAGAUCUGACGGUACCUCACGAAUAAGUCACGGCUAACUACGUGCCAGCCGCCGCAGUAAC